This 10886-nucleotide long non-coding RNA is filed under the name Salmo salar (Atlantic salmon). RNAcentral describes it as "lncRNA (ENSSSAG00000102524.1)". Lineage: Eukaryota; Metazoa; Chordata; Actinopteri; Salmoniformes; Salmonidae. The record is from RNAcentral.
GGGUUUAAUUCUCCACAUUUUCAAAAAUAUACAUUUUUACUAGAGAAAAUAAACAAAAAAGUGUUUUCAAACUGAAUUGAAAUGGAAAAAAAACCUGACUGUCCUAUAAAGUAGCAGCUUAAAAAAGAACUGAGAUCUACGGUGCAGGAACAGAAUGUACAAAAAUCAUAACUCAACUCACAAGAAAGGGGAUGACACAGAGAAUAUAUAGGGAGUGGCCAGUUCCAUUCUCAACAUGAAGGGGAUUCUGCAAAACAUCCAUCUGCAAUUACAGACUAUAAUGAUAUAAAGUUUUAACAUAAUGAUCAGAUUUUAAAUACAACCUUUAUUUUAGCAUUAGCAAUACAUUACAGCAAUAGAGAACGGUACUUUGCCAUUUUAAUAUUGUCCCUGGAAAUAGAGUUCCCCUGCGUUGACCAGAGAGGUGGCAUUUCUCAAUGCUCCUCCAGAACAAUACUUUAGUGGUGGAUUUCCACAUAGACCUCCUUUACCAGAACACAGCUGGCUUACCUGCUGCAGACAUGGUGCUGGUAACUGCUGAGACAAGGGGGUUAACAGAAGACAUUAUAUAGCUCAAACUUUGACUGUGUAUUUGAGAAUAAUAAUGGUUAAAUAAUAAUAAAGUUCGAUGAUAGAGUUAAAUUAUACCCGUGACUAUUACCAAAAGUGUGCACUCAACAUAAAGAAACAAAGUUGACAUGAUUUGUAAUUAUGAAUUCCUGCAAUAGUGUUAUGUAUGGGAUAUAAGAAACACAAGCUAUGUGAUGCGUCGUCAUUUAUAUAUUAUGUGUAUCACCAUGAGUAUAAUGCAAAGUGAGUGUUAACGUGCAUUCAAUUUAAAUGCCAUUUGUUUGGCCAGGGUUGUUAUUAAAUACUUGUUAUUAAAUACGUGUUUUUAUUAAGAAUGUAUUUCUACAAGAGGGUCUAAUCCAUCAUGACUUCUAUGGUCCCGUUAUUAUUAGCGUAAAGUUACCGUUCGCGUCUGUGGUAACACUGCACCACUCAGACUGGCAGAGCUAUUGGGCCAAAGACAGAAACAUAUAUAACAGUCCAGACAGCUCAUGAUGAAUUACUGCUUUGGCUGAGUUUAUUCGCUGGUACUUAGGGUUGGCAGUGAUAUACACCAAAUAGCCGCAGUUUGAUUGGGAGGUCACUUGAGUCAGUCUGUCAAGAGAGCAGGCUAUCAGACAGUCUGUCCUAGGUAGACAGCGAGAGAGGAGGGGGGUGUAAAAGACAAUCCCAGACGGUGGCCUUUGAUGAAGUUACUUUUUCUGCCAUUGUCCAAAAUGAUUGCAGUCCUCUCCUCACCAGACAUGAUUUAAAUAUGGCACAUAAUAGUAUUAGCAUAACAGUAAUUGUAUCCACAGGCAGUCUCCCUGUGUCACAUAUCCUAAAACAUGUUCUUUGAGUUCAUAGCAUGAUAGUUUUUCUCCAGUCUCAUAUCAGGGCCAAAGUGACAAAGCAAUUAAAAUGUGACACUAUCCUUCAUAUUUCACGUUCUAACAAGGCUCUGAGUGGUUGAGCUGGUUUAAGAAGCAUAGUGCAGAAAAAAACAGCAAGGUGAAUCAGAAAGUCAGUGCUUAUGAAGAAGUUUCUUUCAGGGACAAAGAAAAUCCUACAAUAAUGUUUUCAGAUAGAAAAACUUUAAACAGUUAGGGAGUACUAAUGUCUUUUCAUCUGCACAAAAACAUUUCAAGCUUCUCAAGGUCAGUUCUAGUUUUACAUUACUGAAGUAUACAAAAGAAAUGAGGAACUCCAAAUAACCCUCCCGCUUCAGCAGAAAUUGAAUAUUUUCACUUAAUAUUUCACUAGGGUAUCCGGCUCAGAUUUUCCUGAAGAGGGAAUUGGCCGACCUGACUAUUUGUCUGCAUAUCCACUUGGCAAAUAAAGAUAGCAGCAAAGAUAACAUCAGGGCUGUUUUCAUUAGUAGGGAACUCAAUCCGGUGUAUGUGACAAUAAAAACAUAGAUUUAUUUUAAUCAAUAGAUCAAUACCAUUUUUAUGAAUAGUCGUGGUAAGGAUUUUCCCUUUUAUCAGUACAAAUGUGCAGUACCAAGCCCCCAAGUCCAGCUCUCCAGAACCAACUAUACAGCAUGGGCAUCUUUCUUUAGAUGUUAAUAUUAGAAUACUGUGUAAAGCGUGUGGUAACAAUGGGUCUUCAAAUUCUACACACCCCCUCAGAAUGUGUUCAUAUCUCUUUCCAACAAUUGUACAGUAACAUCUUGAAGUAAAUCCUGGCGUUUCCAUCCAAUUUGAAAGAUUUUCAUGCAAAUAUUAUAAAAUCUGCAUGAAAACAAUAUGGCAUUUCCCCUUCAGAGAUGUGUUUCCAUCAAAUGGACUUGUUGCAGAUAAAAGGAUGUGCGUGAAGAUGUAGUGCACAUAAAAAUUACUGUUAUGGUUAAAUUCCCAUGUACUGAAUAAAACGUGUUUCCAUCUUAAUUUCAACUCUGAUGGUUUUGUCACCAAAAAAAAGUAUUAUAUAGCUAAUGUUCAAAAUCUGGUCUUGGUAUGUGUGCUUUACCCAACACUAUUAUGGAUGAGAGUGAGAAUAUUUUGAUUUGUCAAACGGCAGUCAAGCAUCUAUCAUCAUGUCACCAGAAUAAGAGCCUCGAUAUUUAUUGGAAAGGUGUAUCAAGCUCAUCACCAUACACUUUCACCACCCUGUGAAGUUCAUCCUAACUUAUUUUAUCUGUAGCCUAAUAAACUGCAUGGUUUCCUGACUGGUAGUCGGAGUACCAAACACCACAUAAUCCAUGACUCCAAGUUUACUUCGAUUUGGUGGUUAUUAUGACAUUUGCGCAUAAAGGCGUUUCCACCGCCACUUCAAACAAACAAUUUAUCUGUUGAUUUUUCCAUCAUUUGCUUUCAUGAUGUUUUUUAUACGGGAUUACAUUUGUGUUGUGCAGUGAUGGCUGCUCUUCCUCCAUGUAGUUUUAUAAGUGCAAUAGCCUACUUUUUUCAAAGUGUACUCUAGGGUACUCAACUAAUAUUUGAGAAGGUCUGGAUGGAUAUGGUAAUUAUCAGGGUAGUAACAAACCCCCACCUCAUGACUCAAGCAACCCCAAACUGAUCAAUCUGUUCACACCUCUCUUUUUGGCAGAGAGAAAAUGUUGCCAUUUUAAUGCUCAUUUCCUGCAAUUGUACACAUUUCACCAUGGGGAGGAGAGAAAAUGAUGUUUUAUAGCAAAUUUCUUACAAUUACACACAGCUUGCUGCAGCUUUGGUAUCAUAUUAUGAUACCAAAAUGACUCAGCAAUAUCAAAUGUGGGCCCGCUGGGGGUCGAGGCCCUUGGGGCCCUGUGCAAGUAAUAUGGCCAUAAUAACUACAAGAUUUUGGCCGAGAUUCAUUCAGUUCCAGCGUUAAUCCAAGAUAACUGACAACUUCAUAGCAUAUUUCUAUUAUUUAGGCGAUGUCGGUGGUGUAACUGUGUUGGAGCUGUCCCCUUUCGUUCUUAGCUAGCCACUGACUACAUUUUAGCUAGCUGGUUAGCAGAGCAGUAGAUAAACAAAUAUGUUUGUAUUAUUUAGUCUAUAUAAUCGUUUGUACAGUAUGUCGACUUUGGUGUCUGUUUCAGACGUUAUGGCAUUUAAGGAUGAGCAUAAGAUUAUUAAAAGGGGAGAAGACCACUAUAAAUCUGACCAUGUGGAGAAGUGCAGCUAUAGUGAGGGGCAAUUUACCGGCUUGGUCAGAGCCAGCAUGAGGAAUAAAGAUUAUCCUGUGUCGGUGAGUGUAGCUAUUAAGUUAAGUUUGAGCGUCUUAGCAAUACAAUGUGUUCUAUACAACUGUCAACAUUCUACAAGGAAAGAGACACUUAAUCAAUGUUAUAAUUAUUAACCAGAUUAUCCUGGAUACCAGAUUUAGAUGAGUGCUAUAACUCAGUUCUAGAAUGUUGUAAUUGAUGAUAAUGAAUCAAAAGAAUCUAUUGACAUUCAGAAUUGUCUUUGUUUAGACAUCAAGUCUGUAUUGUAGUUGCAUGACCAGAGACAAAUCUUCAAAGGCACAGUAUUUAUUUUUUUCAUAGUGGUACAUGGAUUCAAAGGUCUGGAUUUCUAGAAUCCUUCCCACUGUAUGAUUGAUAUGUCAAGUGAUAAAAUCCCCAGUUAUCAAAAAAUGUAAAUGACAGUUUAUUUAAUAUUCUACAGCUGUAAUGACAUCAAAUCAAACUUUAAUUACAGAGGCAAGAAAAAGUAUGUGAACCCUUGGAUUUAAUAACUGGUUGACCCUCCUUGGCAGCAAUAACCUCAACCAAACAUUUUCUGUAGCUGCGGAUCAGACCUGCACAACGGUCAGGAGGAAUUUUGGACCACUCCUCUUUACAAAACUGUUUCAGUUCAGCAAUAUUCUUGGGAUGUCUGGUGUGAACUGCUCUCUUGAGGUCAUGCCACAGCAUCUCAAAUCGGGGUGAGGUCAGGACUCUGACUGGGCCUCUCCAGGAGGCGUAUUUUCUUCUAUUGAAGCCAUUCUGUUGUUGAUUGACUUCUGUGUUCUGGGUUGUUGUCCUGUUGCAUCACCCAACUUCUGUUGAGCUUCAAUUGACGGACAGAUAGCCUAACACUCUCCUGCAAAAUGUCUUGAUCAACAUGGGAAUUCAUUUUUCCGUUGAUGAUAGCAAGCUGUCCAGGCCCUGAGGCAGCAAAGCAGCCCCAAACCAUGAUGCUCCCUCCACCAUACUUUACAUUUGGGAUGAGGUUUUGAUGUCGGUGUGCUGUGCCUAUUUUUCUCAACACAUAGUGUUGUGUGUUCCUUCCAAACAACUCAACUGUAGUUUCAUCUGUCCACAGAAUAUUUUGCCAGUAGCGCUGUGUAACAUCCAGGUGCACUUUUGCAAACUUUUUUGGGACAGCAGUGGCUUCUUCCGUGUUGUUCUCCCAUGAACACCAUUCUUGUUUAGUGUUUUACAUAUCGUGGACUCAUCAACUGUCACGCCCUGGACAUAGAGAGGUUUUUAUUCUGUAUUUUGGUUAGGCCAGGGUGUGACUAGGGAGGGUAUUAUAUUUUCCUUUUUCUAUGUUUUGGUAUUUCUUUGUUUUGGCCGGGUAUGGUUCUCAAUCAGGGACAGCUGUCUAUCGUUGUCUCUGAUUGGGAACCAUACUUAGGUAGACUUUUCCCACAGGGUUGGUGUGGGUAGUUGUUUUCUGUUUGGUGUGUUCACCUGACAGAGCUCUUGCGUUUUGUUCCCUUUGUUUUUUUGUUGCGGUGUUCAAGUUAUUAAUAAACAUCAUGAACACGUACCAUGCUGCGCUUUGGUCUACUCCUUCUUCCAAAGACAACCGUUACAGAACUACCCACCACCAACGGACCAAGCAGCAUGGUAAGAAGGACUCCUGGACAUGGGAGGAUAUCCUGGACGGCAAGGGAUCCUACACAUGGGAGGAGAUCCUGGCUGGAAGGUAUCGCCUCCCAUGGGAACAGGUGGAGGCAGCCAGGAGAGCGGAGGCAGCAGGAGAGGGGAGCGAACGUUAUGCGGGAACACGGCUGGCAAGGAAGCCUGAGAGGCAGCCCCAAAAUGUAUUUUUUGGGGGGGGCACACUGGGAGAUUGGCGGAGUCAGGCGAUAGACCUGAGCCAACUCCCCGUGCUCACCGGAAGCAGCGUGGUACUGGUCAGGCACCAUGUUAUGCGGUGAAGCGCACGGUGUCUCCAGUAUGUGCUCAUAGCCCGGUGCGCUAUAGGCCAGCUCCCCGCAAGUGCCAUGCGAGAGUGGGCAUCGAGCCAGGGCGGAUUGUGCCAGCUCAGCGCGUCUGGUCUCCAGUGCGCCGUUUCGGCCCAGGGUAUUCUGCGCCGGCUCUGCGUACUGUGUCUCCGGGGCGCUUGGAGGACUCAGUUCGUCCUGUGCCUGCGCUCCGCACGUGCCGGGCGAAAGUGGGCAUUCAGCCUGGAAGAGUGGUGUCAAGCCUACGCACCAGAUCUCCAGUGCUCCCCCACAGCCCGGUCUAUCCUGUGCCUGCUCCCAGAGCCAGGCCUCCUGCAUGUCUCCCCAGCCUGGUGAGUCCUGUGCCUGCUCCCAGAGCCAGGCCUCCUGCAUGUCUCCUCAGCCUGGUGAAUCCUGUGCCUGCGCCCAGAGCCAGGCCUCCUGCAAGUCUCCCCAGCCUGGUGAGUCCUGUGCCUGCUCCCAGAGCCAGGCCUCCUGCAUGUCUCCCCAGCCUGGUGAAUCCUGUGCCUGCGCCCAGAGCCAGGCCUCCUGCAAGUCUCCCCAGCCUGGUGAGUCCUGUGCCUGACUCCAGUCCAGAGCUGCCAGAGUCUCCCGCCUGUCCGGAGCUGCCAGAGUCUCCCGCCUGGCCGGAGCUGCCAGAGUCUCCCGCCUGGCCGGAGCUGCCAGAGUCUCCCGCCUGGCCGGAGCUGCCAGAGUCUCCCGCCUGGCCGGAGCUGCCAGAGUCUCCCGCCUGGCCGGAGCUGCCAGAGUCUCCCGCCAGUCCGGAGCUGCCAGAGUCUCCCGCCAGUCCGGAGCUGCCAGAGUCGGUGCCCAGUCCGGGGUCGGCGGCGAGGGUCCCCACUCCAGAGGUGCCACCUAAGUGGGCCGUGCCAGAGGUGGAGCGGGGUCUGCAUCCCUCACCGGAGCCGCCACCACGGAGAACUGCCCACCCAGACCCUCCCCUAUAGGUUCAGGUUUUGCGGCCAGAGUCCGCAGCUUUGGGGGGGUACUUUCACGCGCUGGUCAUAGAGAGGUUUUUAUUCUCUAUUUUGGUUAGGCCAGGGUGUGACUAGGGAGGGUAUUCUAUGUUCCUUUUUCUAUGUUUUGGUAUUUCUUUGUUUUGGCCGGGUAUGGUUCUCAAUCAGGGACAGCUGUCUAUCGUUGUCUCUGAUUGGGAACCAUACUUAGGUAGCCUUUUCCCACAGGGUUGGUGUGGGUAGUCGUUUUCUGUUUGGUGUGUUCACCUGACAGAGCUCUUGCGUUUUGUUCUACUUAGUUUUUUUGUUGCGGUGUUCAAGUUAUUAAUAAACAUCAUGAACACGUACCAUGCUGCGCUUUGGUCUACUCCUUCUUCCAAAGACAACCGUUACAUCAAUGGAGAUGUUAGCAUGUUCCAGAGAUUUCUGUAAGUCUUUAGCUGAGACUCCAGGAUUCUUCUUAACCUCAUUGAGCAUUCUGCGCUGUGCUCUUGGUGACAUCUUUGCAGGAUGGCCACUCCUAUGGAGAGUAGCAACAGUGCUGAACUUUCUCCAUUUAUAGACAAUUUGUCUUACCGUGGACUGAUGAACAUCAAGGCUUUUCGAGAUACUUUUGUAACCCUUUCCAGCUUUAUGCAAGUCAACAAUUGUUAAUCUUAGGUCUUCUGAGAUCUCUUGUGUUCUAGGCAUGGUUCACAUCGGGCAAUACAUCUUGUGAAUAGCAAACUCAAAUUUUGUGAGUGUUUUUUAUAGGGCAAGGCAGCUCUAACCAACAUCUCCAAUCUCGUCUCAUUGAUUGGACUCCAGGUUAUUUGAGUCCUGACUCAAAUUAGCUUUUGCUGAAGUCAUUAGCCUAGGGGUUCACAUACUUUUUCUAACCUUCACUGUGAAUGUUUAAAGGAUGUAUUCAAUAUAGAUAAGAAAAUACAAUAAUUUGUGUGUUAUUAGUUUGAACACACUAUGUUUGUCUAUUGUUGUGACAGAUGAAGAUCAGAUCAAAUUGCAUGACCAAUUAUGCAGAAAUGCCAUUGUAAAUCCCGUGUAACAUAAUGGCGCCGGAGGGGAUGGCUGCCAUUUUAUGGGCUCCUAAUCAACUGUCCUAUUUUGUUGUUUUUUUCGCAUUGAUUGUAACUUAUUUUGUACAUAAUGUUGCUGCUACCAUCUCUAAUGACCAAAAAGAGCUUCUGGAUAUCAGAACAGCGAUUACUCACCUCGAACUUGCCAAAGGUUUUUCUUUAAUGAGCCCGACUAUCACGUUCUGACCUUAGUAUGAAGUCAUUUUUCCAUAGUAGAUUGGUCAGGGCGUGACAGGGGGGUGUUUUCCAUGUCAUUGUUUGUACCUGACGGGACUGUUGUUUGGUCGUUUUGUUAUUUUUGCAAAGUGUUUUCAUUAAAAGUAAAUAUGAGCACUUCACACGGCUCAUUUUGGUCUCCUUUAGACAACCCAUAUUACAGAACCACCCACCAUGAUUGGAUCAAGCGGCGUGCCCGGGUAGAUAUGGACACCUGGUCAGUGGAAGAAUGGUGGGAAAGGAGAAACUGGACUUGGGGCCAGGUAAUCAAAAGAUUUCGGAACUUACCUGGAAGAAACAGGAGGCGACCCCCACAAAAAAAAUUGGGGGGGGGGGGCACACAAGUAGUUUGGCUGGGCAAGGGUUGAGGCCUGAGUCAACUACUCGUGCCUUUUGUAGCGAGCAUGUGCCUGCCUCUCGCACUCUCUCUCCAGUGCGCCUCCGUAGCACAGUAUGUCCUGUGCCUGUUCCUCGCACUCUUCCUCUAGAGUGCGUCCAUAACCCGGUACGGCCAGUGCCUGCUGUGAGUACUCAGCCCUUAGUGUGUCUCCCCAGUCCAGUGAGACUGAUUCCUGCUCCUCGCACUCUUCCUCCAGUGCGCAUCCAUAACCCGGUACAGCCAGUGCCUGCUGUGAGCACUCGGCCCUUAGUCCGUCUCCCCAGUCCGGUGAGACUGAUUCCUGCUCCUCGCACUCUCCCUCCAGGGCGCAUUCAUAACCCGGUACAGCCAGUGCCUGCUGUGAGCACUCGGCCCUUAGUGUGUCUCCCCAGUCCGGUGAGACCAGCGACGCCUCGCAGCCCAGAGCCUUCAGCGGUGGUCUGCAACCCAGAGCCUUCAGCGGUGGUCUGCAGCCCAGAGCCUUCAGCGGUGGUCUGCAGCCCAGAGCCUUCAGCGGUGGUCUGCAGCCCAGAGCCUUCAGCGGUGGUCUGCAGCCCAGAGCCUUCAGCGGUGGUCUGCAGCCCAGAUCCUCCAGCGGCGGCUUGGAGGUCAGAACCUCCAGUAGUGGUCUACAGCACAGUGAUUCCGGUAAGGAUCUACAAUCCGAUUGCUACAAUAAAGAUCUACAGGCUUAUGUUACAGAAGCAGAGGAAUCUAUGGGCGGAAUGGAGGUUUCGCCCUGAGCCAGAGCCUCUCCGUUGCUGGAGGAUCGGGAGAAAAGGAAGGUUCUGGGUGUUGCAUAUGAGCCGCCAUAGACUGUUGUCACCCUCCCUGCCCUCCCCUUUGUGUUUGGGGUUGUUUUUUGUUUUUUUUGGUUUAGGUGCAGUCGGAGUCUGGUGGGGGUUACUGUCAUGUUCUGACCUUAGUAUGAGGUCAUUUUUCCAUAGUAGAUUGGUCAGGGCGUGACAGGGGGGUGUUUUCCAUUUCGUUGUUUGUACCUGACGGGACUGUUGUUUGGUUGUUUUGUUAUUUUUGCAAAGUGUUUUCAUUAAAAGUAAAUAUGAGCACUUCACACGCCGCAUUUUGGUCUCCUUUAGACGACCCAUAUUACACCAACAGGAAGGUUAUACUGCUUUCCUGGGACCAGGCCCAAAUCCCCGUCAUUCGUGUGAAGAAAAGAAAGAAAUACAGGGGGUGGCGAUCGGGGUGCCUUGUGAGAAUUCUUCGGUGAGUGGUUAACCAGCCUCUACCAUCCGUUCUAUUGGCUAACGUGCAAUCAUUGGAAAAUAUCUUACAAACGAGACAUUAAAAACUGAAAUAUUUUAUGUUUCAUCGAGUCGUGGCUGAAUGACGACUCAUAUAUAUAUACUGCUCAAAAAAAUAAAGGGAACACUUAAACAACACAUCCUAGAUCUGAAUGAAAGAAAAAUUCUUAUUAAAUACUUUUUUCUUUACAUAGUUGAAUGUGCUGACAACAAAAUCACACAAAAAUAAUCAAUGGAAAUCCAAUUUAUCAACCCAUGGAGGUCUGGAUUUGGAGUCACACUCAAAAUUAAAGUGGAAAACCACACUACAGGCUGAUCGAACUUUGAUGUAAUGUCCUUAAAACAAGUCAAAAUGAGGCUCAGUAGUGUGUGUGGCCUCCACGUGCCUGUAUGACCUCCCUACAACGCCUGGGCAUGCUUCUGAUGAGGUGGCGGAUGGUCUCCUGAGGGAUCUCCUCCCAGACCUGGACUAAAGCAUCCGCCAACUCCUGGACAGUCUGUGGUGUAACGUGGCGUUGGUGGAUGGAGUGAGACAUGAUGUCCCAGAUGUGCUCAAUUGGAUUCAGGUCUGGGGAACGGGCGGGCCAGUCCAUAGCAUCAAUGCCUUCCUCUUGCAGGAACUGCUGACACACUCCAGCCACAUGAGGUCUAGCAUUGUCUUGCAUUAGGAUGAACCCAGGGCCAACCGCACCAGCAUAUGGUCUCACAAGGGGUCUGAGGAUCUCAUCUCGGUACCUAAUGGCAGUCAGGCUACCUCUGGCGAGCACAUGGAGGGCUGUGCGGCCCCCAAAGAAAUGGCACCCCACACCAUGACUGACCCACCGCCAAACCGGUCAUGCUGGAGGAUGUUGCAGGCAGCAGAACGUUCUCCACGGCGUCUCCAGACUCUGUCACGUGCUCAGUGUGAACCUGCUUUCAUCUGUGAAGAGCACAGGGCGCCAGUGGCGAAUUUGCCAAUCUUGGUGUUCUCUGGCAAAUGCCAAACGUCCUGCACGGUGUUGGGCUGUAAGCACAACCACCACCUGUGGACGUCGGGCCCUCAUACCACCCUCAUGGAGUCUGUUUCUGACCAUUUGAGCAGACACAUGCACAUUUGUGGCCUGCUGGAGGUCAUUUUGCAGGGCUCUGGCAGUGCUUCUCCUGCUCCUCCUUGCACAAAGGCGGAGGUAGUGGUCCUGCUGCUGGGUUGUUUCCCUCCUACGGCCUCCUCCACAUCUCCUGAUGUACUGGCCUGUCUCCUGGUAGCGCCUCCAUGCUCUGGACACUACACUGACAGACACAGCAAACCUUCUUGCCACAGCUCGCAUUGAUGUGCCAUCCUGGAUGAGCUGCACUACCUGAG